This 500-nucleotide ribosomal RNA is filed under the name uncultured eukaryote. RNAcentral's name for it is "SSU rRNA". It matches the Rfam family "Eukaryotic small subunit ribosomal RNA", at positions 34 to 539 of the family's 1831-position model. The record is from RNAcentral.
AUGUUAAGAUAGCCAUGCAUGUCUCAGUAUAAGCUUCUAUACGGCGAAACUGCGAAUGGCUCAUUAAAACAGUUAUAGUUUAUUUGGUGGUCAGCAAUUACAUGGAUAACCGUGGUAAUUCUAGAGCUAAUACAUGCGCCCAAACCCGACUUCGUGGAAGGGUUGUGUUUAUUAGAUACAGAACCAACCCAGGCUCCGCCUGGCCUUGAGGUGAUUCAUAAUAACCGAACGAAUCGCAUGGCUAUGCCGGCGAUAGACCAUUCAAGUUUCUGACCUAUCAGCUAUCGUCGGUAGGGUAUUGGCCUACCGUGGCAAUGACGGGUAACGGAGAAUUAGGGUUCGAUUCCGGAGAGGGAGCCUGAGAAACGGCUACCACAUCUAAGGAAGGCAGCAGGCGCGCAAAUUACCCAAUCCUGACGCAGGGAGGUAGUGACAAGAAAUAACAAUACAGGGCAUACAUGUCUUGUAAUUGGAAUGAGUAAACUUUAAAUCACUUUACG